AUUGAACGCUGGCGGCAGGCCUAACACAUGCAAGUCGAGCGGAUGAAGGGAGCUUGCUCCUGGAUUCAGCGGCGGACGGGUGAGUAAUGCCUAGGAAUCUGCCUGGUAGUGGGGGAUAACGUCCGGAAACGGGCGCUAAUACCGCAUACGUCCUGAGGGAGAAAGUGGGGGAUCUUCGGACCUCACGCUAUCAGAUGGGCCUAGGUCGGAUUAGCUAGUUGGUGGGGUAAAGGCCUACCAAGGCGACGAUCCGUAACUGGUCUGAGAGGAUGAUCAGUCACACUGGAACUGAGACACGGUCCAGACUCCUACGGGAGGCAGCAGUGGGGAAUAUUGGACAAUGGGCGAAAGCCUGAUCCAGCCAUGCCGCGUGUGUGAAGAAGGUCUUCGGAUUGUAAAGCUCUUUAAGUUGGGAGGAAGGGCAGUAAGUUAAUACCUUGCUGUUUUGACGUUACCAACAGAAUAAGCACCGGCUAACUUCGUG
RNAcentral lists this ribosomal RNA (484 nucleotides) under uncultured bacterium. RNAcentral's name for it is "partial 16S ribosomal RNA". It matches the Rfam family "Bacterial small subunit ribosomal RNA", at positions 30 to 507 of the family's 1533-position model. The record is from RNAcentral.